Long non-coding RNA from Ornithodoros turicata, 672 nucleotides. RefSeq lists it as uncharacterized. The transcript is spliced from 4 exons. Lineage: Eukaryota; Metazoa; Arthropoda; Arachnida; Ixodida; Argasidae. The record is from RefSeq and is a predicted model, not a curated record.
GCAGUCUGAUUCUGUUGCCUCCUUGCUGUCUGCCUGUCUACUUCUCUCUGCGACAAGCCACACUACUAUUGCCAUAAGGGGUACCAUUCCAUCAACGUCUUAGCGGAUCUGUGAUGCAACCAGGCGCAUUCUGUUCCUGAAUGCCAGAUACCCGGGAUCCUGCCAUGAUGCCUCUGUAUGGGCAGCGUCCCAGCUCUGUCGAGAAGCUCCCACAAUAUUUGAAGAUGGAAUCCCGAGGCCUUAACUAUGAUAGGUGGUUAGCCUAUGUCAGAGGCAAUUACUCACUCACGCAAUGCUUUCAGUUGAUUCUUGCAGAAUUGCGAGAAAAGCAUGGUUGCACAUGAUUCGUUCUGUGGAAAGGUACACUAUGGUGCAAGCUUCGCAGAUUUGAAUGGUUGCGGAACAGUACCAGGAAGAGCACCCCGUUGGUGCAAGUCAGCGGACACAGUCGAUUCGGCAACCCUCUUCACAACAGGAAGCAAGUUCUGCGACUGCUGUAUACACUACGCCUGACACAGCGGCAGCAUGGUGACUUGCUGCAGGAACUUAGCAGCCACAGUCUCCGCUUUUAACAAGCUCCCGUUUCAACCUCAGCACUUAUUAGGGCUCCAUUUUCAAGCUCAGCUGAGCUGGAGCUAUUUAACUCCACCAUGAACGAGAGAAAGAAGGAAA